AAAUAUGCUUGUUUUCAACUUAAUUUUCAUAUUUAUUUCAAGUGUUUAACGUUCUUUUUUUUGGGGGCAGAAUGCGUAAGUUUGUUAAGAGAACCGCAAUUUGUGGAUCGCUCUUAUUGAUAGCGAUUUUUAUGAUGAAUAGUUGGAGCGGUAUUCAGAGCGGGCAUAACGCAUUUCGUCCAGUCUCAAAAUCAAAACCAGCAUCAAGUGAGACUUGUAAAGAGUAUAACGAAAAGGGUUUUAUCGGAAAAUUGUUUGAUUUUUCUGCACGUGGUUGGUGCGAUUGAUUAAAGAGGCUUCGGCCUCUUUUUUUGACGCU
RNAcentral lists this non-coding RNA (319 nucleotides) under Brucella suis bv. 5 str. 513. RNAcentral's name for it is "Brucella sRNA 0709". It matches the Rfam family "Brucella sRNA 0709". Lineage: Bacteria; Pseudomonadati; Pseudomonadota; Alphaproteobacteria; Hyphomicrobiales; Brucellaceae. The record is from Rfam by way of RNAcentral.